This 193-nucleotide ribosomal RNA is filed under the name uncultured Desulfobacterales bacterium. RNAcentral describes it as "partial 16S ribosomal RNA". It matches the Rfam family "Bacterial small subunit ribosomal RNA", at positions 340 to 524 of the family's 1533-position model. Lineage: Bacteria; Pseudomonadati; Thermodesulfobacteriota; Desulfobacteria; Desulfobacterales. The record is from RNAcentral.
UACGGGAGGCAGCAGUGAGGAAUUUUGCGCAAUGGGGGAAACCCUGACGCAGCAACGCCGCGUGAGUGAUGAAGGCUUUCGGGUCGUAAAGCUCUGUCAAGUGGGAAGAACCCACUGGGUGCCAAUACCAUCCAGUGCUGACGGUACCACUGAAGGAAGCACCGGCUAACUCCGUGCCAGCAGCCGCGGUAAU